UUGAAAUGGUGUGGCUGCAGGACUCUUGCUGCAAACAAUUUUACUGGAGAGUUCCCUGAUCUCACUAGUCUCACCAAGUUAAAAGAACUAAGGAUCAGUAGUAACUACUUCACAGGAAGGAUGCCUGAGUUUGGCAAUUUGAAACAGCUUCAGAAGUUGAUGAUUCUGAGGUUUGCUAUCAGUUUUCCUCUGGAAUAAAGGUACAAUUUUUUUCUUUUUGAGUACUUUAAUUGAGAUUAGUAUGGUAGAAACUUGUGUUAUAAAUUUUAUGGUUUCUUCUCAUAUCAACUGAAAGAAGAUUAAGAAAAAGUAGUUUGAAAGAGAAAA
Humulus lupulus (European hop) is the source of this 327-nucleotide long non-coding RNA. RefSeq lists it as uncharacterized. The record is from RefSeq and is a predicted model, not a curated record. NCBI's taxonomy places the organism in Eukaryota, Viridiplantae, Streptophyta, Magnoliopsida, Rosales, Cannabaceae. The transcript has 3 exons.